Molecule: long non-coding RNA, 432 nt
Organism: Linepithema humile (Argentine ant)
Lineage: Eukaryota; Metazoa; Arthropoda; Insecta; Hymenoptera; Formicidae
Source: RefSeq, a predicted model, not a curated record
GCAUAGAAAAAAGCACUGACUAGAGCUAAUAUUAUGCCCGUUGACACGCUAUUGCUUUGUACAGUUAAACCCGAAAAACUGACCAAUAUCUCGGCAGAAGGGUAUAAAAUCAAUACAAGUUGCACUUUGUCUCUAAGCUAGAGAAUUUCCUGUUUCCAUAUAAUUGUAGCAAACUUGCAACUUACUAGUCCAAAGAUGCUAACAACUACAGCAGCUAGCUUGGACAAUGAAAACUUGUCCCCUCCGUUACUGGGAAAAAAAGCAGCAAGGAUUAAAGUGAAUAAACUAGAUGUCGAAGACAAUAUAGUCACGAUUCUCGCCUCUAUUUGCUCCAAUGAUAUUUGCUCUCACACUGGCUUGAUAACUAAGUCGCGCUAAUAGAGCUUCUGUGGCAUCGCUUUCCGACAUAUGGCGCACUUCCGCUAGUUUACU